Paramormyrops kingsleyae is the source of this 3536-nucleotide long non-coding RNA. RefSeq lists it as uncharacterized. Lineage: Eukaryota; Metazoa; Chordata; Actinopteri; Osteoglossiformes; Mormyridae. The record is from RefSeq and is a predicted model, not a curated record.
UACUAAAUCAUGUUUAUUGAACGUGUUUGUGGUUUUCACCAUGAAAAAUACACCUUUUUACUAUUCUGACUUUAUUUUGCUUGUGUUGUAUGGGUCCAAUGUGUUGAUACAGUAUGUCAAAAUUAGACUUAAUUAUUAAUAAUUACGGCAAAUUCACAUAUCUGAGGUUGUGCUGAAAAAAAUGAUAACCAGACACUGGCAUGGAAAGUUUUUGCAAGUUUUUAUGUUGAAAUGUCAAGGAAAAAACAAAACUAGUAAAAUACCAUAGACUUCUAAGUGUUAAGUAACUGCUUCUCCUUAAUGUUAGGCCUCUGAUGUCAUAGCAGUUCAGACGGCUGUCCUGCACUGUCUUUCAGUUCUUCUCGGCGAUGAUGGCAGCGAUUUCUUCAAAGUGUGUUUUGAAUCAGAUGUCACUGCAGAUCAUACACAGGUUCCUGUUGGGGUAUUGACAGUUAUACCCGACAACAGCAAGCAGCCGGGCCCAAAUGCCCUGCACCCCCAACCAUCAGGCACUGAUAUAAUACUGGAAGGUGGUAACAUCAUAAUGGGCGGUAUUGAAAACCAACGCGCAAUUUUGUCCCGGCCACUGCAAUGGACUCUGUGGUCUCCUCCGGUGCUACAGUCUGAGAAUGAUGCUGGCCGCAUGACCUUAGAGACAAUGGAUUCUUUGAUGGCGGGCUUCUGGAUAAAAACCUCCUCCAGUUCUGUUGCAUGGGACUUAUCCAGGAUGAGCUGGAUGACACUGCACAGGUUUGGAAUGCACACACCAUCAGGCCAUCCAAAAACAUGAAUGUCCCCAGCGGUCGGCCUAAUGUGAUGUAUGCUAUGCCUGAACUGUACAGGACAAGAGAUUUCCUAAACCAGGGUGAAGAUGACCAUGUUCAACUGUGCAAAAAUGAAUGUGUCUUUCGGUCAACCAUACCCUGCGAUUCAGAUAUAAAUGAAUUAUGCAAUAUUACUAUGGCAGAGUCCCACCUGUAUCUACCAAAUGAUCCAUAUCAAGCUGUAUACUUGUCCGUUGGCAGUCUGCUCCCAAAGUCUCAAAAAGUAUCCUUUGUUUUUUGGUUCUUGGUUGCAUUUGGAAAUGAAGAUGCUGCAGUAAAUAAAAACAAAACCUGUUAGUACUAAUUUAAAUUAAUGGUAGUGAGAAAAACAUAUUCUACAUUUACUAUUAAAGGUUGUGCAUAACAUACAUAUGGGUGAAACACCAAAAGCUUAGUAAGGAUAAAAAACCAUAUUUAUUGUGAAAUAAAUGGAACAUUAAAUGGAUCUAACCACACACGAAUAACAUAGUCCUGAAAAAUAAUUUCAUCUUAGAGAAGAGAUUGCACAUGCAAAAAGUUGUUGAGAAGCCCUGGAGUGAUUGCUGGCACAAAAUGCAACUGUUUGUACAAAGUACAUGUGGAUUAAGUUAUUACCUAAAGUUGAUUCCAUCUCUACCCAUGUUUCUCCAUCAUCAUCAUUACUUUAUUUAUUAUAAACGCUUCUAAUAUCAAAAACCUGUUCACUGCUUCCACUGUCAGAUGUAUGUCUGUGCUCCACUGGAUCUGUGAUCAAAUGUUCUGCACCAGUUUGACUCAACUGUGGAUCCACUUCCUCUGUUGUACUGACAGAUGAAUCCUUAGAUAAGAAAUCUUCACUGUAUUCAGUCGCUACAGAUGAUGACUCAUCUGUUGAAGGUGCUUCUUCUUUUGUGCAAAUGUAAAAUCUAAGCAUUUUCAGUUUGGUUUUUCAUAAAGUCUGCCAACAGUGUCAUCCAUAGUAAUCUGGUUUUAAAACGAGAUAUCCAUGUAAUUCUACAUCCUCAGCAAGAUGGGUUACCCCAUGAACAUUGUAACUAACAAAUUCAGCACCAUACAAUUCACUGAAAUGUGUUACAAGAGACACAAGUAGUGUGUGUGCAAAGUCAUGAAGAGCUACAGACAAUGAAGGACUUGCAAGAAUGAAAAUGGCAACAGAUAACAACAUGAAGUUGUUAUAAACUGAAGUUGACAACACAUUGCGGAGAAACACUUGUCCGGUAUACAGUAAGAAAUGUGGCAGCUCUGUGGCCUUCCACCUCGGCCUUUCUGAAAGCCCCCUUGGUUUACGAGCAAAAUCAAUGGGAAUGAAAUAUCUUGAGCCUAUGAGUUCACUAGAGAUUUGAUCCGUUUGAUGAGACGACAAGGGCCCUGAUGUAAACCACAAAUCCAACAGUUUUCGCACUACCCCAAGACAGACAAGAUGCAUAUAUUCAUGCCACAAAUACACCAUAAAGAACGAUACUAUGAUUAGUUAAGGGGACCGGAUCAUGAUCACUGAUUAUUCUACUCCUACUCAUAUCCUGAGAAGCUUGAUAAAUACUGUCCCUGAACUGGAACAGACUGAGAAGUCCAACAGAACAUCCAACACAUCCCUAAAGAUACUCUCAGGCUGUGUGGCUUCGUGCUUUUCCUCAUAGCCAUGUCACAGGCUGCCCUGAUGCUAACAUCACCGCUCAGCCUGUCUUUGUAUGAUACUGGGGAAAAAUAAGCGACAGCAAGUCUAUGGAGCUCUAAUAGCUAGCAAUAAGAAAUCAGAAAUUUGCAGUUUUCUAUCAGCUAAAAUGAACUUUUCGGUGUUAGCUUGCUAGUGACGUAUUGAAUUAUCCCCGUUCAGGAUAUUAACGUUAGCUAACAUUAUAAAAUCCAUAUUUUUCUUAAUGCUUCAUCCUACUAACCUUAGCUAACAUAAGCAGAUACAUACACUUGUAGUUGCUUUUGUAUGAGGAAGCGUAUAGCUUAAACCCCUUAUCCAUUUUGGUGGCAGGAGUUUUAGAUGUCAACCUGCAUCUGCGAUAGACACUGGUUACACCCAUGUUUGGAAGCUCAUGAAAGCAUCUCAAGUAAAACAGCGCUAUAUUCAACUUAGCUCGUACAGCCGACCUGAACUGGAAGCAACGUGACCUGUUUUACAGAAUAAGGAAGUCUGUUGUGCCUAAACCCCAUACCAGUUAUACUAGACUAGACCAGUGGUUCCCAAACAGGGGGGGGGGCGCCCCCUACAGGGGGCACAGAGGUAUUGCAGAGGGGCACACCAAUGGGAUAGCCUACGCUCAACUUAAGCACCGCUAGCAAAAACAUGGAUAAGUUUGUGGAUUCAGCCAAGUCUCCAGCAGAGGCCGACUCUUCAUCAGCUGCAGGUUCAAGCUCCAAAGCAAAGAAGAGAGAACAUGAUGAGUCAUAUCUGGGCCUUGGUUCCACAGCGACGAUGGUGGGUAACGAGGAGAGACCACAGUGUGUUGUGUGUCUGAAAAUAUUUGCUGCUGACAGUCUGAAGCCGAACAAAUUAAGAUGUAAUUUGGAGACAACACACCCUAAGCAUAAAGAUAAGCCAGUUGAUUUCUUUAAAGGAAAACUCACAAACCGCUGUGCACAACAAAGCAUCAUUACUGAAGCUGUAUCUUUGCAUAAAAACGCUCAACUGGCAUCAUAUAAAGUUCCCUACCAAGUUGCUCAUUGUCAAAAACCGCACACAAUAGCUGAGGAAUUAAUACUUCCCUCCACUAUCGAUAUGGU